GGAAACGGAGAGGUUUCGCAAGAGAAACGAAGGUAAGCGGCGUUAAAUCGUCCGUAAAAAUUCCACCAGUAAUUGGCCGCUGAACUAUUUUCCAUUUUUCUUCGGUCGUUCUUUUGGUAUGUCGAUCUUUUUAAUACGUGGGUAUUCUUCGCUUUACGAUAACAGCAUUAAGUUCUUCGUCGUAAUAUAUUUGCAUUGCUUUCCCUUGUGAAACCGAUAAGUAGAUAGAUAUGAUUAAGGAAUUAAUUAAAAUUUAGGUUAGGAUUUUAUAAAUUCAAAAAAAUUUUAUUCGAUAACUGAAUUCCAAUAGUAAUCGUAAAAAAACAUAUAUUGUUGAAGAAGAUUCACAUCUAUUAAACGAUAUAACUAAGAACAGAAAUUGAAGAAAUAAAAAAUUGAUUAAUAUUAAAAAUGAUCUUCAAAGCAAAAUAUGUAAAUCAAAGAAAACGAAUGAUAUCGAUUCGAUCGAGGAUGAAUCGUGAGAUACGAUUGUCUGUAUCGAUACCGGUCAGGAUUCGAUUAGGACUUAAGUGGAUUAUAAACGACGUACUUGCAAAUCAGUUCUGCUCGGCAAUAAUUAACUAUCGGCAAGGAGUUCGCUUUAAGCCGUAUACCUUGUGCGGCUUCCCUACCGUGAUUACCUACGGACGGAAAUUGAGAGCUCGUUGCGUUGUCGACGACAAUGGACCACUCCACGAUCCUGUGUAAACCUCGUUUUCGAUCUACUGGCUCCUGGUCACUUAGACAUUGCACUCAUUAUUAAUUAUUAAUUAAAUAAUUAGAGAUUUCUUCUUAUAUAUUUAUAUGUAUAUCUUCUUAUAUAUAUUUUCUUAUGCAUUUGUUCGAAUCUUUAUGCAUAAUUAUUAUUAUUAUUAUUAUUAUUAUUACUAUUUGAAAAACUUAGAAAUAAUCUUUUAUGUUUUCAUAUUUAUAUUUGUGUAUAAUUAAUAUUUUUUGAAGAUCUUUUACAUGUAUAUACAACUUUAUUUAUAUCUUUAUAAAUAAUAAUUUUUAAAAAAUGUAAGUUAGGUUAAGUUUAGAGAAACUUAGAGAUUUCUUCUUUUUUAGUACAUUCAUAGUUAUUUGUAUCUUUGUAUUUUAUUUUUUAAAAAACUUAAAAAUUUUAUUCAUAUCUUUGCAAGUAAUUAUUAUUUUUUAGAGAAAUGUAGAAAAUUUAGCAAAACUUUAAAAAAAAGAUAUUUUUUUAUUUAUAUUAUAUUUUUAUUUAUAUUUUUAUAUAUAAUUUUUUUGAAGGAAUGUAGAAAGAAUAUUUGUAUUUUCAUAUUUGGAAAAUGAGCAUUUUUCUAAAAAAUAUCAUUCUUUAAUGAAGAACAUAUAAAAUGAGAUAAAAAGAGAUCAUAUUAAAAAAUUGAUUUCACAUUUGAAAGUUGUUAAUCAUAUAUUGUUUAUUUUACAUAUUUUUCAUAUUUUCCAUGUUUUGCGUAUAUUCUUUUUAAACAUGUAUUCAAAAGUAUAUUUAAAAGGCAUGUUUUAUAUUCGUCCAUCGUAUUUAUUUUAUAAAACUCGAUAUUAUGUCAAAGAUUGUAUUGAUAUUUAUCGAAAAUACGAGUAAAUUUUUGAAUAAAUUAAUAUUAACUGAUCCGGUAGAACAAUGUCAAAGAAUUUCUAAUCGACACGAUUAAAAGUUUUUGGGAAAGUAUGAUAUCUCAAAAUGAAAUUCAAUUUUGAACGAUGAUUUUAUAUAUCCAAAUUACAUUGCAAACAUAAGUGAAAUUUCGAAAGGUAAAAUUUAUUGAAAAGCUGGUACAAAUUGAAUGACGCUUUUGGAGUAAAUUUAAAUAUACACAUAUCUCUCUGUAAAUAUACGUCGAGUUAGUUUUAAUUGACGAAGGUCAUCGAUUAAUUACUUAUUUUCACAUUCUCUAUAAUUUUACGUAUAUUCGUAUGUUUUCAUGUAAAAUGUUCACGUUAUAUUUCACAUAUUUUAUUUACUUGUUUUGACUUGUAUUUUACGCGUAUAAAUAUUCGCAGCUCUGUUAUGAUAAAAAUAUUAAAUAAGAAAAGAGAAAUAUCGAUUCGAAAAAGAUAAAAAUAAGAGAAAAUAAAAUUUUUGGUGGAAUUUUAAGAGAUAAAAAAUAAAGAUCUAAUAUUAUAA
Molecule: long non-coding RNA, 2116 nt
Organism: Apis cerana (Asiatic honeybee)
Lineage: Eukaryota; Metazoa; Arthropoda; Insecta; Hymenoptera; Apidae
Source: RefSeq, a predicted model, not a curated record